This is a non-coding RNA of Sus scrofa (pig), 1892 nucleotides long. NCBI's taxonomy places the organism in Eukaryota, Metazoa, Chordata, Mammalia, Artiodactyla, Suidae. The record is from RefSeq and is a predicted model, not a curated record.
UCCGGGGUCUCCACCAAUCCGAAUUCUCGGAUUCUCGGACUCUCUGCAGACCCACAGGAUUCGGUCAUGGAGUCUCAGAUGCUCCUUCUGGUGCUCUUGGGGGCCCUGACCGAGACCUGGGCGGGUUUUUCCGUCUCAGGAGCCCCUCGCCCUCUUUCUACUCCCGGUCUCCUCACCCCGCACCCAGGGCUCCGCGCCGAAAGGAGGGAAGGGUCUCAACCUCUCCCCGCCCCCAGGCUCUCACUCCAUGAGGUAUUUCCACACGGUCGUGUCCCGGCCCGGCCACGGGGAGCCCCGGUACCUUGAGGUCGGCUAUGUGGACGACACGCAGUUCGUGCGGUUCGACAGCGAAGCUCAGAAUCCGAGGAUGGAGCCGCGGGCGCCGUGGGUGGAGCAGGAGGGGCAGGAGUAUUGGGAUGAGGAGACACAGCGCGCCAAGGAUCUUGUACAGAAUUUUCGAAGGAACCUGAUGAUCCUUCGGGGCUACUACAACCAGAGUGAGACCGGGUCUCAUACCUUCCAGUUGACCUAUGGUUGCGAGGAGGAGUCGCACGGAGGCCCCCUUCACGCGCACUGGCAGUACGCCUACGACGGCGAGGAUUACAUCACUUUGAACGAGGACCUGAGUUCCUGGACUGCAGCGGACAUGGCGGCUCGGGUCACACAGCGCAAGUGGGACAAGUCCCGUGCUCAUGAGCGCUUCAAGAGCUACCUGGAGGGCACGUGUGUGGAGUGGCUCAGAAGAUACCUGGAGAACGGGAGGGAGAUGCUGCAACGUGCAGACCCCCCAAAGGCAUAUGUGACCUGCCACCCCAGCUCUGACAAUAAAGUCACCCUGAGGUGCUGGGCCCUGGGCUUCUACCCUAAGGAGAUCUCCCUGACCUGGCGGCGGGAGGGGCAGGACCAGAGCCAGGACGUGGAGGUUGUGGAAACCAGGCCCUCAGGGGAUGGGACCUUCCAGAAGUGGGCGGCCCUGGUGGUGCCUCCUGGAGAGGAGCAGAGCUACACCUGCCAUGUGAAGCACGAGGGCCUGCAGGAGCCCCUCACCCUGAGAUGGGAACCGUCUCGGCUGUCCGCCAUCACCAUCGUAGGAAUCGUUGCUGGUCUGGUUCUCCUUGGAGCUGUGAUCACUGUGAUAUGGAAAAAAAGGUUCUCAGGUAGGAAAGGGGUGUGGUCUGAGAUUUCUUGUCCCACCGAGAGGAUUCUAGCCCCAGGUAGAAGCUGGCUCUGCCUCUUUCCUAGGAAAUGCCGUCCAUACACUUGCUUACCCAGUCUAGGGUCAGCGGUCAGUGCUAACAUUUACUCUUUAGUAAAGUACAUGAGAAAAUGAAGAACAAAAUUUUCACCCUGAUGAAUCUGCAGAUGGGGACCUGAUUCCCAACAUAGAGCAGAGAAGCUCCUGCCUGAGGGCAGACCUCCAGGAGGGCGGUAUUUCCAGCCUCUCCAUGUGUACUUUCCUCAUGUCUUCCGACCCUGUCCUGAAUCUGGUUUCGGUUCUUACAGGGAAACUUCCCUGGGAUCCAGGAGUAGGGGGUUCCUCUAGGAUCCCAUGGCCCGAUCUCUUCCCUGGCCUCUCACAGGGUGUUUUCUUCCCACAGGCAGAAAAAGAGGAAGCUACUCUCAGGCGCCAAGCAACAACAGCGUCGAGAACUCUGAUGUGUCUCCCGCAAGUCCUCAAGGCAUCUGAAUGCGUCUGUGUUCCCAUCAGCGCAAUGUGGGGAGAUGGAAGACUGGCUUCUCCACACUGAUCUUCGCCCCAUGUCCAAGCCACUUUCCUGUUCCAGCAGAGGCAGAGCUGAGACAUCUCAGCUUCUCGUAAUUUCACAUUCUACUGAGCUGCACUAUUUUCCAUAUUGGAAAUAAAAAUCCAAAUAUAAAUUUAUUUUUUCAAA